AUUGAACGCUGGCGGCAGGCUUAACACAUGCAAGUCGAGCGAGCGGCGGACGGGUGAGCAAUGUCUGGGAAACUGCCUGAUGGAGGGGGAUAACUACUGGAAACGGUAGCUAAAACCGCAUACCAUAGGAUGAGCCCCAGUGGGAUUAGGUAGUUGGUGAGGUAAAGGCACACCAAGCAGACGAUCUCUAGCUGGUCUGAGAGGAUGACCAGCCACACUGGGACUGAGACACGGCCCAGACUCCUACGGGAGGCAGCAGUGGGGAAUAUUGCGCAAUGGGGGCAACCCUGACGCAGCCAUGCCGCGUGAAUGAAGAAGGCCUUCGGAUUGUAAAGUUCUUUCGGUAGCGAGGCGUUAACUACAGAAGAAGCACCGGCUAACUCCGUGCCAGCAGCCGCGGUAAUUC
Molecule: ribosomal RNA, 406 nt
Filed under: uncultured bacterium
Lineage: Bacteria
Description: partial 16S ribosomal RNA
Rfam family: Bacterial small subunit ribosomal RNA
Source: RNAcentral